RNAcentral lists this ribosomal RNA (1237 nucleotides) under metagenome. RNAcentral's name for it is "bacterial LSU rRNA". It matches the Rfam family "Bacterial large subunit ribosomal RNA", at positions 1696 to 2925 of the family's 2925-position model. The record is from RNAcentral.
GAACUCAGGAGAAGGAACUCGGCAAAUUGACACCGUAACUUCGGAAGAAGGUGUGCCCUAUUAGUGUGAAGUGAACAACGGAGCAUGAAUGGGUUGCAAAAAAUCGGUGGCUGCGACUGUUUAUUAAAAACACAGCACUCUGCAAACACGAAAGUGGACGUAUAGGGUGUGACGCCUGCCCGGUGCUGGAAGAUUAAAUGAUGGGGUGCAAGCUCUUGAUUGAAGUCCCAGUAAACGGCGGCCGUAACUAUAACGGUCCUAAGGUAGCGAAAUUCCUUGUCGGGUAAGUUCCGACCUGCACGAAUGGCGUAACGAUGGCCACACUGUCUCCUCCUGAGACUCAGCGAAGUUGAAAUGUUUGUGAUGAUGCAAUCUCCCCGCGGAAAGACGGAAAGACCCCAUGAACCUUUACUGUAGCUUUGUAUUGGACUUUGAACAGAUCUGUGUAGGAUAGGUGGGAGGCUUUGAAGCAGGGUCGCUAGAUCUUGUGGAGCCAACGUUGAAAUACCACCCUGGUGUGUUUGAGGUUCUAACCUAGGUCCAUUAUCUGGAUCGGGGACAGUGCAUGGUAGGCAGUUUGACUGGGGCGGUCUCCUCCCAAAGCGUAACGGAGGAGUUCGAAGGUACGCUAGUUACGGUCGGACAUCGUGACGAUAGUGCAAUGGCAUAAGCGUGCUUAACUGCGAGACUGACAAGUCGAGCAGAUGCGAAAGCAGGACAUAGUGAUCCGGUGGUUCUGUAUGGAAGGGCCAUCGCUCAACGGAUAAAAGGUACUCUGGGGAUAACAGGCUGAUACCGCCCAAGAGUUCAUAUCGACGGCGGUGUUUGGCACCUCGAUGUCGGCUCAUCUCAUCCUGGGGCUGUAGCCGGUCCCAAGGGUAUGGCUGUUCGCCAUUUAAAGAGGUACGUGAGCUGGGUUUAAAACGUCGUGAGACAGUUUGGUCCCUAUCUUCCGUGGGCGCUGCAGAUUUGAGGAAGCCUGCUCCUAGUACGAGAGGACCGGAGUGGACACACCUCUGGUGUAUCGGUUGUCACGCCAGUGGCAUUGCCGAGUAGCUAAGUGUGGAAGAGAUAACCGCUGAAAGCAUCUAAGCGGGAAACUCGUUUCAAGAUGAGAUCUGCCGGGGCCUUGAGCCCCCUGAAGAGUCGUUCAAGACCAGGACGUUGAUAGGUCAGGUGUGGAAGCGCAGUAAUGCGUUAAGCUAACUGAUACUAAUUGCUCGUGCGGCUUGACCCU